Molecule: ribosomal RNA, 253 nt
Filed under: uncultured bacterium
Lineage: Bacteria
Description: partial 16S ribosomal RNA
Rfam family: Bacterial small subunit ribosomal RNA
Source: RNAcentral
UACGGAGGGUGCAAGCGUUGUCCGGAUUUAUUGGGUUUAAAGGGUGCGUAGGCGGCCAAUUAAGUCAGUGGUGAAAUUUUCCGGCUCAACCGGGAGACUGCCAUUGAUACUGGUUGGCUUGAGUUAUGGAGGGGUACAUGGAAUUUACGGUGUAGCGGUGAAAUGCAUAGAUACCGUAAGGAACACCGAUAGCGAAGGCAUUGUACUGGCCAUAAACUGACGCUGAGGCACGAAAGCGUGGGUAGCGAACAGG